CCUACGGGUGGCAGCAGUGGGGAAUAUUGCACAAUGGGGGCAACCCUGAUGCAGCGAAGCCGCGUGAGGGAAGAAGUCUCUCGGUAUGUAAAGCUCUAUCAGCAGGGGAGUUAAUGACGGUACCUGAGUCAGAAGCUCCGGCAAACUACGUUACAGAAGCCGCGGUAAUACGCAGGGGGCAAGGGUUAUCCGGAUUUCCUGGGUGUAAGGGGAGCGUAGACGGCAUGGCAAGUCGGAAGUAAAGGCCCGGGCUCAACCGCAGGACUGCUUUGGAUACUGUUAAGCUGGAGUGCAGGAGAGGUAAGCGGAAUUCCUAGUGUAGCGGUGAAAUGCGUAGAUAUUAGGAAGAACACCAGUGGCGAAGGCAGCUUACUGGACUGUAACUGACGUUGAGGCUCGAAAGCGUGGGGAGCAAACAGGAUUAGAUACCCCAGCAGUC
RNAcentral lists this ribosomal RNA (439 nucleotides) under uncultured bacterium. Its description in RNAcentral is "partial 16S ribosomal RNA". It matches the Rfam family "Bacterial small subunit ribosomal RNA", at positions 338 to 795 of the family's 1533-position model. The record is from RNAcentral.